This 429-nucleotide ribosomal RNA is filed under the name Pseudomonadota bacterium. Its description in RNAcentral is "Proteobacteria bacterium partial 16S ribosomal RNA". It matches the Rfam family "Bacterial small subunit ribosomal RNA", at positions 355 to 776 of the family's 1533-position model. Lineage: Bacteria; Pseudomonadati; Pseudomonadota. The record is from RNAcentral.
UGGGGAAUAUUGGACAAUGGGCGAAAGCCUGAUCCAGCCAUGCCGCGUGUGUGAAGAAGGUCUUCGGAUUGUAAAGCACUUUAAGUUGGGAGGAAGGGCAGUAAGCGAAUACCUUGCUGUUUUGACGUUACCGACAGAAUAUGCACCGGCUAACUCUGUGCCAGCAGCCGCGGUAAUACAGAGGGUGCAAGCGUUAAUCGGAAUUACUGGGCGUAAAGCGCGCGUAGGUGGUUCGUUAAGUUGAAUGUGAAAGCCCCGGGCUCAACCUGGGAACUGCAUCCAAAACUGGCGAGCUAGAGUAGGGCAGAGGGUGGUGGAAUUUCCUGUGUAGCGGUGAAAUGCGUAGAUAUAGGAAGGAACACCAGUGGCGAAGGCGACCACCUGGGCUCAUACUGACACUGAGGUGCGAAAGCGUGGGGAGCAAACAGG